This 305-nucleotide ribosomal RNA is filed under the name uncultured bacterium. Its description in RNAcentral is "bacterial SSU rRNA". It matches the Rfam family "Bacterial small subunit ribosomal RNA", at positions 335 to 637 of the family's 1533-position model. The record is from RNAcentral.
UAACCUACGGGACGCAGCAGUGAGGAAUAUUGGUCAAUGGUCGGGAGACUGAACCAGCCAAGCCGCGUGAGGGAGGAAGGUACAGAGUAUCGUAAACCUCUUUUGUCAGGGAACAAAGGCGGGGACGUGUCCCCGGAUGAGUGUACCUGAAGAAAAAGCAUCGGCUAACUCCGUGCCAGCAGCCGCGGUAAUACGGAGGAUGCGAGCGUUAUCCGGAUUUAUUGGGUGUAAAGGGAGCGUAGACGGCUGUGCAAGUCUGAAGUGAAAGCCCGUGGCUCAACCGCGGAACUGCUUUGGAAACUGUA